RNAcentral lists this unclassified non-coding RNA (3643 nucleotides) under Hevea brasiliensis (rubber tree). The record is from RNAcentral. Lineage: Eukaryota; Viridiplantae; Streptophyta; Magnoliopsida; Malpighiales; Euphorbiaceae.
GGAGAAAUACUAUACAGUUUAAAUUAUAUAAAAAUUUUAUUUGUCAUAAAAAAUCAAAACAUAUAUCAUAGAUGUUAUAUGGUUAAUGACAUAUAUAUAUAACUUUUUAGAGGGUCUAUAUAUAUUGCAGCACAAAUUCAAGUGGCAGGCUUACUGUAGGAAAAAAUUAAAUAAUGGAAAUUGGUCAGUGAUCUCAUUGAAUCUUCUGUUAAGGGUCCGGAGAGCUUGGACAUGAGGCUCGUCUUCUUCUACUGGUAUUAUUUUAGCAAAGCUUCCCUCUUCAAGAAAGUCUACCACCUGGUUUGCUGCCUCCAGUCCAGUAACAUAAGACUUCUCCUGUGACCAUGAUCCGUGCCGGGUUAUAAUCCAAUCUCCAGCCAUGAACAAGUUUGGGAAAGAUGUCGAACCACGCAUCAUGUGCCGAUAUGAACCUGGAAAGAAGUGCGUCAAGGAUUUUGGAAAUCUUGCAAUCUCCUUUUCAAUCACUUUAGCCUUCUCGAAGUCCUUGAUGAUAUUGGAGAGAAGGGAUAUCACUUUUGUAACUACAAGUUCAUCCUGGAGUGGUAACAAUUCAUUUGCAUGAUAGAAAUCGACCCGAAUUGUUGUCACUUCACUGUCUUUAUGCUCAUCAUGAAGCGCAUUCAGGUCAAAAAAUGUCCACCCAAGUGAAUCAUCAAAUGUAGAGCAAACAUUGCUAGCAUGAGGAAUGUUGACCUGGUUAUAUAUGAAGUUUAUGACAAAAUCAGCAAAAAAAAAACACAAGGAAAUAUCCAAAACAACCUGCAGAAUCUGUUGCUAUCAUCUGUUCUUAUAUGGUAACCUGCAGGAAAAAUGACAGCCUAAAGUUGCAAAAAAUUAUUUUUUUUGUCUUAAACAAUAUUCCCCGUAGCUGUAGCCCACUCUGACUAGUAAGGGACAAGGCUUCAUAAGUUGAGUCCAGUCAAGUCAAACAAUUCUUGAUUUACAUAGAUAUUCCUUUGAGUAAAUAUCUUCGGGCAAAAAUCUAUCAAAAUCAAUUAGCAAUCAAUUUUCUACAAACCCACACUUCUAAAUAAAGGCUAACUUUACAUUCAAACUCUUAAAAGAAUCUCAAAACUAGCCCCCAAAUAAAAUUAGGUUAGACUAUUUGGUCCAGCUAUCACUCUAUCUAGUCUCUUCAUUAUAUUGAAGUACCACAUGCUGUAGCAUAAAUGUUCUUUAGGCUCAAAAAUUAUGAGAGAUACGUAGAAGAUGUUGAGUACUACUUUUUCUUCUCAUAGAAAUUAGAGUCUAUAAGAUGUUAAGUAAUCAUUCAAAGAACAACACUUGAGCUGAUGUUUACUUAGAGACAUCAAUCUUCGUGCAAAGAGAAGCCAAAGCAGGAUGUGCCUCUGAGGAUAUUGAACAGUGUUGGGUAGACAUAAUGAAACUCUCUCUGAACUCCCAAUCAAUAAAUCACUUGAUCCAUGUGAAGUAGGAUGAGGGACACAGUCAUUAUAACCGAUUAUGCUGCCAAGAGUAAGUGAUGACCUAAAAUGUUAAUUUCAGCUACCUAGGAAGAACAUUAGCCCAACUUCCAAUGCAACUGAUGCUUAAGGCAAUAAAUACUCAAAUGAUAUUGAAGUCAGAGUGAACAAAUCAAUUUACUCAUGAGCUUCUUGGAAUCAACUUAAAAAUAAUUGAAUUGAAUUCAAUUUUAAUCCACUUGAGUUUGAAUGUUAUAAUACUCAAGUGGUUUGCAAGCUUAAAAGUAUAAUUUUUAAAUAAUAAUUUAGCAUGUUAAUUAUUUUUGCUAAUUAAAAUAAAAACACUAAUUUGAGCCUGACGCAACUUUAUCCAAGUUCAAAUUCAAAAUUACUCAAAAACCUUACUUGAGCUUUUAGCGGUUAUAAGUUGGGUCGAGCUUGAGCAUCCUAAGUAUGUUACCGAUUUGAGUUUGAGUAGAAAUACAAGACUAUAUAGAAUUUGACUAAAUAUCAAGUCUCAAUUAUACCCCUAAUUGAUGUCAUAUCUUUAUGGAGCACCAUCUUUUUAAUAGUGGGAUAAGAUGCAGGAGGCUUACACCUCAAGGCACACUCAGAACAUUAGCUCUUUUGGGGUAUGUCGUGUUUGUCCCGCUCACAUUUUUAGAACUCAUAUCAAAGCAAGAUGCUUCACUUCAUGGAAAAAUACUUCAAGAAAAGAAAUCAAAACUUGAAAUUUACCAGAGUUUCCUUUGGAUGGCAGGUAAAUUGUGAGUUUUCUAUUUCCUAUCUUUGAACAAAUGAAAAAGUUCCUGAACAAACCUUUCUGUCAAGCUGAAGUUUACAGGUGAGUACAUCAAUACCGGACAGGUUCAAAACUUUCAGAAACUCCUCCCGUGUACAUAGUGCUGCACUAUUUUUGACAAGUUCUUGAACUUUGGAGAUCCCAACGGCCAGAAUUACUGCAUCAGCACCAUAGGUCUCAUUGCUGCAAACCACUCCUGAAAUGCAACUUGUUUCUUUGUUAAAGAUGAAAUCCUUCAUUUUUCCACCGUCCAGAAAUCGACAGCCUUUAGUCCUCAGUGAGUCCAUCCAUGGGUUGAAAAUUUUUCCUCUAACUGUUCCACGACACCAUACCAUAUCAAAAUCUUUCUGGUGAGCAAGGGAGAUGAAGUAUAGCAUUCCAAUUGUUGCAGCUGCACUACAUUGCUCUGGUGGGGCAAACAAACUGACUUGGAGCAAUGGACCAAAAACAUUCCGAUAAAUUCUCUCUGAGCAGCCAAACUGUUUGAAAAGUUCCCUCGCAGUAACUAUCAGUAAACCUCCAAAUAAGACACUUGAAACACAUCUGUCAAUUAAAGUAAGUAGUAAUUUUCUAAUGCUGGAAAUCCACAGUUGCAGCUGAGAUCCUUACUUGCAUCAUAUUUUCUCCAAGCCAUGUCAGUGUUGUCAAAGUCAAUUACUACAAAUCGAAGGUAGAGAUGGAUAAUUAAUCAGCAGAAAUUACAAAAAGGAUGCAAAAUUAAACUUAACAAAUUGAUUAAAUAUCAGUUGUAAAAAUGUUAAUAAAUAACUUGGGGCAUAGUAGUCUAUUUCUGUUUCUUUGACCUUCCAUGCAUUAUAAGUUUGAGAACAUGUAAACUAAAAAUAGCAAUAAUCUAUUGACCAUCUUGGCAUGUAGAAGAAGUAAAUGAAUAUUUGACUGAAAAUAUUAAAUUAUAAGAUGCCUCAAGAGGGAUAGCAGUUGCAGGCAUCAAGCAAGAAAACUUGGUACAGCACUGAGUUUCAGAGCAAUAACAAACACCAUUGGCUAAUAGUAGCUAUACAAUUUCUAAAAGAUUAUUGAAUGGCAGGAUGCAAUUACCACAUACAGUACAAAUUUGAAUUGAAGCUCAAAGUAUUUGUGUUUUUUUCACCAUCUAGAGUCCAUAUAGAUAUAUGAAGAAACCUGAUAAUGGCUAUACAAGUAUGAGUUUGAUAUCCUUAAGUUUGUGUACACUGGCAAAUUUACAGUGGGGGCAACUAGCUCCAUCCUUUAUAAAAUUUUCAAUAAAUUCUUUAAUAAGGAAUCGCCCCCACUCAAUUAGCCUAAUUAUCCCAUUGUCCAUAUAAAUUUUCAUGCAUACUUUUUAUUUUUAUGAAAUUUCCCACUAAAUUUUAAAUAUGUCUCCAUUUAAAUUAAAUAAUUAUAAUUUUUAGUA